AAGCUCAUUUUGCUGCCGAUGACUACGAAGAUGCCGUAGAAGGCGAAUUGCGAAGACGUCCGAAGCACACUGAUGCUCAGUACCCAGUGAUUUUGCUUCACCGAGGUGACGAGUUCAACACAACGUCUUAGGUAUGUACAGGCGUCACACACGUAUAAGUUAUAAUAUAGCGACGACGUAUUCCAUUUAACUUAUGUUAUCCUUCUUGUCCCGUACUCAACUUUGUCAACAUCAACAAAUUUAAUUUUAGGGGCCUUCCAGUGUUGAAGUGGCGCAAGACUGCUUCGUAUGUGUGAUCCAGGCACUCAAGUUGACAUGACAGAAAUAACUGAAAGCAGUCUUUGGACAGGUGCAGAACAUUAGUAUGACGUCAACAAGAGGAGAAGAAACCGAUGAGAACUACUAGCAUGUUUGAAGGAGAUGCAUCCUCUACACUUGAAUACCCAGUGCAACAGCAAACGUUCAUUGUCUUUGAAGCCGCAACUACUGGAAUUGUUCAAUGUGUGUCAGAGCUGCAGUGAGCCAUGCAAGGUUACCACAUCAUAUUGGUCCCAAAAUUUGCAGAGUUCCCCUAUCUCGGACGCAGCUGUCAUUUCUCUUUAUUGCUCUUCCGAUCCUACCUUCUCAGAAAUGAAUAUGGUUCACCAUACACUGCAUGGGCACUGCCUUUCUCUGCUCAUGCUUUCUGUUUCUUAUUCUGUUGAAUAAAUCUUCACUUGAGUUU
This is a long non-coding RNA of Ornithodoros turicata, 724 nucleotides long. RefSeq lists it as uncharacterized. Lineage: Eukaryota; Metazoa; Arthropoda; Arachnida; Ixodida; Argasidae. The transcript has 3 exons. The record is from RefSeq and is a predicted model, not a curated record.